Molecule: transfer RNA, 70 nt
Filed under: Ictidomys tridecemlineatus (thirteen-lined ground squirrel)
Lineage: Eukaryota; Metazoa; Chordata; Mammalia; Rodentia; Sciuridae
Description: Spermophilus tridecemlineatus (thirteen-lined ground squirrel) tRNA
Rfam family: tRNA
About the family: Transfer RNA (tRNA) molecules are approximately 80 nucleotides in length. Their secondary structure includes four short double-helical elements and three loops (D, anti-codon, and T loops).
Source: Rfam by way of RNAcentral
GGGGUUGUGGCUCAGUGGUAGAGUGGUCACCUAGCAUGUGAGAGGCCCUGGGUUCAAAUCCUCAGCACCG